This 400-nucleotide ribosomal RNA is filed under the name uncultured bacterium. Its description in RNAcentral is "bacterial SSU rRNA". It matches the Rfam family "Bacterial small subunit ribosomal RNA", at positions 356 to 773 of the family's 1533-position model. The record is from RNAcentral.
AGGGAAUCUUCCGCAAUGGACGAAAGUCUGACGGAGCAACGCCGCGUGAGUGAUGAAGGUCUUCGGAUUGUAAAGCUCUGUCUUUUGGGACGAUAAUGACGGUACCAAAGGAGGAAGCCACGGCUAACUACGUGCCAGCAGCCGCGGUAAUACGUAGGUGGCGAGCGUUGUCCGGAUUUACUGGGCGUAAAGGGUGCGUAGGCGGAUGUUUAAGUGAGAUGUGAAAUACCCGGGCUUAACUUGGGUGCUGCAUUUCAAACUGGAUAUCUAGAGUGCAGGAGAGGAGAAUGGAAUUCCUAGUGUAGCGGUGAAAUGCGUAGAGAUUAGGAAGAACACCAGUGGCGAAGGCGGUUCUCUGGACUGUAACUGACGCUGAGGCACGAAAGCGUGGGUAGCAAAC